This 300-nucleotide long non-coding RNA is filed under the name Elaeis guineensis (African oil palm). RNAcentral's name for it is "long non-coding RNA (EGUI_LNC048161)". The record is from RNAcentral. Lineage: Eukaryota; Viridiplantae; Streptophyta; Magnoliopsida; Arecales; Arecaceae.
GGCAUCUCACAUCCCAUCUAGCCAUGGCACACUUUAAACUUUAUCCCAUGCAAAUAGAGGGUUGAGAGGGCUUCAUCAUAAGCAUAGAUAUCAGAUAAGAAGAAGAUUUAAGACCCCUUCACUGAUCAAAAUAAUUUCAGCCUUAUCAUUUUGUGCACUAGACUUGAUAGAGUCCUAACCAACUUGGACUCUAUAUAUAGUGCUCCAAAUGGCUAAAAAAAUAUCCAAUAAAAUCUAGAUAAAUCUAGUCCAAGUUAGAACUUAACCCAAUUUAAUUAAUAGCCCAAUUGAGUUAGCCAA